This 460-nucleotide ribosomal RNA is filed under the name uncultured bacterium. RNAcentral's name for it is "partial 16S ribosomal RNA". It matches the Rfam family "Bacterial small subunit ribosomal RNA", at positions 338 to 795 of the family's 1533-position model. The record is from RNAcentral.
CCUACGGGAGGCAGCAGUGAGGAAUAUUGGUCAAUGGGCGGAAGCCUGAACCAGCCAAGUAGCGUGCAGGAUGACGGCCCUACGGGUUGUAAACUUCUUUUAUACGGGAAUAACGCGCCUUACGUGUAGGGCUUUGCAUGUACCGUAUGAAUAAGGACCGGCUAAUUCCGUGCCAGCAGCCGCGGUAAUACGGAAGGUCCGGGCGUUAUCCGGAUUUAUUGGGUUUAAAGGGUGCGUAGGCCGCAUGUCAAGCGUGCUGUGAAAUUUCCGGGCUCAACCCGGGCCUUGCAGUGGGACCUGGCGUGCUUGAGUGCGCGGAAAGCAGGCGGAAUGCGUGGUGUAGCGGUGAAAUGCUUAGAUAUGACGAAGAACUCCGAUUGCGAAGGCAGCUUGCUGGAGCGGAACUGACGCUGAUGCUCGAAAGCGUGGGUAUCGAACAGGAUUAGAUACCCGGGUAGUC